GACGACGCUGGCGGCGUGGAUUAGGCAUGCAAGUCGAACGGUAGGAUACCUUCGGGUAUCUGAGAGUGGCGAACGGGUGAGUAACACGUAGGUGAUCUACCCUCAAGAUUGGGACAACCCAGGGAAACUUGGGCUAAUACCGGAUGAAAGCAGCAGUGAUGUUGUUUGAAAGGUGGCGUAAGCUGCCGUUUGGGGGAUGAGCCUGCGCUCUAUUAGUUAGUUGGCGGGGUAAGGGCCCACCAAGGCGAUGAUAGAUAGGCGGCCUUAACGGGUGGUCGCCCACACUGGGAUUGAGAUACGGCCCAGACUCCUACGGGAGGCAGCAGUCGAGAAUAGUCUACAAUGGCCGAAAGGCUGAUAGUGCGACGCCGCGUGAACGAAGAAGCCCUUCGGGGUGUAAAGUUCUUUUAUAUGUGAGCAGUGCUUUCUAUGUGAACAGCAUGGGGAGAGAGAUAUUAGCAUAUGAAUAAGCAACGGCUAACUCCGUG
Molecule: ribosomal RNA, 488 nt
Filed under: uncultured bacterium
Lineage: Bacteria
Description: bacterial SSU rRNA
Rfam family: Bacterial small subunit ribosomal RNA
Source: RNAcentral